This 497-nucleotide ribosomal RNA is filed under the name uncultured bacterium. RNAcentral describes it as "partial 16S ribosomal RNA". It matches the Rfam family "Bacterial small subunit ribosomal RNA", at positions 30 to 523 of the family's 1533-position model. The record is from RNAcentral.
AUUGAACGCUGGCGGCAUGCUUUACACAUGCAAGUCGAACGGUAGAGGGGGCAACCCCUUGAGAGUGGCGAACGGGUGAGUAAUGCAUCGGAACGUGCCCAGUCGUGGGGGAUAACGCAGCGAAAGCUGUGCUAAUACCGCAUACGAUCUCUGGAUGAAAGCGGGGGACCGAAAGGCCUCGCGCGAUUGGAGCGGCCGAUGUCAGAUUAGCUAGUUGGUGGGGUAAAGGCCUACCAAGGCGACGAUCUGUAGCGGGUCUGAGAGGAUGAUCCGCCACACGGGGACUGAGACACGGCCCAGACUCCUACGGGAGGCAGCAGUGGGGAAUAUUGGACAAUGGGGGGAACCCUGAUCCAGCCAUGCCGCGUGUGUGAAGAAGGCCUUAUGGUUGUAAAGCACUUUAAGCGAGGAGGAGGCUACUCUAGUUAAUACCUAGGGAUAGUGGACGUUACUCGCAGAAUAAGCACCGGCUAACUCUGUGCCAGCCGCCGCCGUAA